CUGAGCCACAGCCCCAGCACUGAAUAAUAUUUUUAAUGUUCCUAAAGAAAUAACUACAGAUUCUUCUGAUAUGACAAAUAGGUCAUUAGUUUUUCUUUUUGGAAAAAAGGUUGAAGUUUUGGGUCCCUUAGUCUAUGAUGACCACACAACUCAUCCUUUUGUUUUGUAAUCUGGCAUUAUGAAAGCCCUUUGCCACAAACAAGAAACCCAUGGAAUAGGGGCUAAAGGACAGAAGCCCAGUUUUGUGAAGUUAGCCUGCUCCCUGUGUCUCUCCCCCAAGGCCAGGAAUGUGGCAGUUGUUCAUGUUGCCCUCUGCCCUGGAGCUGGUGAAGUAAGACAGUUGGGAAGAAAACAAGCACUUUGUCCUGUCUCCCAGCUUUCAGGUUAAGGGCCAAAGUAAUUAUUGUGGUAAUGUUUGGGGAAAAUUAUUUUUGAAAACUUGUAAAUGUCUGUCAAUAUUUCAACAAUGGUAAUCCUUUUGGUUUUUAAAGCAUAUAUGCUGCAAUGGAAUUCAUUACUUUAAUUAAUAGAGACAGUGUUCAGAAGGUGUUUGGUAUUUCCCCCCAAUCCCUAGAAACUGUUUUAAAAACAUGGUACUGCAUGCCCAAGAAUGUGGUUAUUGACCAACAUUUGCAUUCUCUGGGUGUAGACAAAUUGGGCAGCUGUCCCUGUUGUUAUGAUGGACCUUGAAUGCACAUUAACUGUAGAGUGACUUUCCAUUUUAUUUACUAAUUAAGUGACAGAUAGGAAAAUAAGUUUAAAAGGUGAAAUAUUUAUGGCAUGCCCAAUCUUGGGUUUUAAAUUACACCAAAUCAUGUUAUUUUUGAUUAUCUGAAUCUGGGGUCUGUCCUUCUAAAAAUCUUUUAGAAGAUUUUUAAAAUCAAUAAAUAGCAUUUUAUAUUUCAUUAGGUUCAUUGUUCUAUGAAUGCAGAGAAUAACUAGGUCCAUGAAAGGAAGAUAAGUCCUCACAGAAGGAAAAUUAGUGUUACACUGAAAUGUGCUUCAGAUGGACAAAAAUAGAGGUUCAGAUCAUUGGAUCAGAAUUUAUUGUGAGCAAAUCCACACACUAAGAGAACAUUUCAGGGAUCCUGAACACUGCAAAAUAACGUAGAUUGAUUUUUUUUACCCUUUGGCAUUUGAAAUAAAGGCCAGAAUAGGGUCUAGAAAGGGAAAUAAGAUCAUUGGCCAUAUUAUAUAGCCAUUAGGUCCCUUUACCAGUCACUGACCAGUGGGCUGCACAUACCCACUAGUCCUUUCUCAGAGAAGGGCUGGAAAAUGAGAGAGUGGGGUGAGAGGGGAGCAAUCAAACUGGAUUGUCCUCUUAAAAUCAAUGAAAAAUGGUAGUCAAAAGAUUUGGUUGAGGGUGAACUGAACGUUUUGUACUUUUAAUGACCACCAAAUGACUGUCUACAACUGGGUAAACUAAAAACACAUGUUCUAUUGCUGCCAGGUUGUGAUCGCUUUUUUCUUAUAUGAAAGAUGGGAUAUGCUGCAAGUAGUAUGCACAACAUUAAGAUAAACCUCAUAUAUUGACAAAAUGGUACUAGGGUAGAAUCUGGCCUGUUGCAAGCCCAGUGGCACAUAACUUUUAAUUUAAU
RNAcentral lists this long non-coding RNA (1598 nucleotides) under Marmota monax (woodchuck). Lineage: Eukaryota; Metazoa; Chordata; Mammalia; Rodentia; Sciuridae. The record is from RNAcentral.